UUCAUUUAUCAGUGUCACCCGGUCUGUUCUUUCCGGAGCUGAUGGGGAAUAGCUGUCCAGCUCGUAUGGGGUGCCAUAGUUAGAAGACUCGAUGUCAGCGUACUUGACUUCACCCUUCAUGUCAGACAUGGGCACAUAAUCCAGAGACUCAUCCUUGCUCAUGUCCAUGUAGCCCCCAUCGCUCUCGACAGACAAGGAGAGGUGACUCUGCACGUGGUCCUCCUUGAUGGUAUUCCCAUACAGCUCUG
This 248-nucleotide long non-coding RNA is filed under the name Gallus gallus (chicken). Lineage: Eukaryota; Metazoa; Chordata; Aves; Galliformes; Phasianidae. The record is from RNAcentral.